AGCCAUCCUUUAAAGAAAGCGUAACAGCUCACUGGUUUAGAUUUUUUGCAACGAAAAUGUAUAGGGGCUAAAAUUAUUUACCGAAACGAUAGAUUUAAUAAAAAUUUUAAAUGGUAGCAGAACGUUCUGUAAAUCAAAGAAGAUUUAUGGCGACAUAGAUUGAAGAAAUCAGAAUUGAAAAUGUUGAUAUGAGUAGCGAUAAACAACGCGAGAAACGUUGUCGCCUUAAGUUCAAGGUUUCCGAGAAAAGGCUAAUCCGUCUCGGGUUAAUCGGUCCCUAAGAAAAAAACGAAAGUUUUAAUUCGAUGGGUAUAUAAAUAAUUUUUAAAUUCUUUUAUAAGUGACAAAACUCAAAAAUUAUUUUUAUUUUUUGGAUACAAAUAAAAGUUUUUGACAGUUUUCAAGAAAAAGCUUAUAAACAAUUUUUAGAACCGUACUGUAAACCGACACAGGUGAACAAAUUGAGAAAAUUAAGGCGCUUGGGUGAAUUAUGUUGAAGGAACUCGGCAAAAUGACUCCGUAACUUCGGGAGAAGGA
RNAcentral lists this ribosomal RNA (537 nucleotides) under Chaetoceros brevis. Its description in RNAcentral is "partial Bacterial large subunit ribosomal RNA". It matches the Rfam family "Bacterial large subunit ribosomal RNA", at positions 1114 to 1747 of the family's 2925-position model. The record is from RNAcentral. Lineage: Eukaryota; Bacillariophyta; Thalassiosirophyceae; Chaetocerotales; Chaetocerotaceae.